UACAGAGGCCCCGAGCGUUAUCCGGAAUUACUGGGCGUAAAGCGCAAGUAGUCGGUUUUUGUAGUCUGAUGUUAAAUCUCAUGGCUCAACUGUGAGACCGCAUCAGAAACGCAAGGACUAGAGCGAGUUAGAGGCAAGCGGAACGUGUGGUGUAGCGGUGAAAUGCGUUGAUAUCACACGGAACACCAAAAGCGAAGGCAGCUUGCUGGGACUUUGCUGACGAUCAGUUGCGAAAGCGUGGGGAUCAAAAAGG
This 253-nucleotide ribosomal RNA is filed under the name uncultured bacterium. RNAcentral describes it as "partial 16S ribosomal RNA". It matches the Rfam family "Bacterial small subunit ribosomal RNA", at positions 524 to 776 of the family's 1533-position model. The record is from RNAcentral.